UAGAGGAAGUAAAAGUCGUAACAAGGUUUCCGUAGGUGAACCUGCGGAAGGAUCAUUAGAGAGGACUUACACACUGUCUAGGGCCACAACAUACCUUCUAUAAUUUUUUUAUUUUUGAAAAAUACAACUUUCAACAACGGAUCUCCUGGCUCUCGCAUCGAUGAAGAACGCAGCGAGUCGCGAUAUGUAUCAUGACUUGCAGACGUGAAUCAUUAAUCUUUGAACGCACAUUGCGCCCUGGGGCACUCCCCAGGGCAUGCCUGUUUGAGCGUCGGCUUUCCUCAGGCCCGCGGGCCUGGUUUUGGCGCCAAAUCUCAGAAAUCAAGAUUGUACUUUCUGACCUCACUCAGGUAGGACUACCCGCUGAACUUAAGCAUAUCAAUAAGCGGAGGAAAAGAAACCAACAGGGAUUGCCCCAGUAACGGCGAGUGAAGCGGCAGCAGCUCAAAUUUGAAAUCCCGCGGGAAUUGUAAUUUGAAGGCGCGGUUUGGCGCCGCGCGAUCUUGCCAAGUCCAUUGGAACAUGGCGCCAGGGAGGGUGAGAGCCCCGUGGGCAAGCAUCGCGCGGGUCCGGUCCGCGCCAAAGAGUCGAGUUGUUUGGGAAUGCAGCUCCAAGCGGGUGGUAAAUUCCAUCUAAAGCUAAAUACUGGCGAGAGACCGAUAGCGAACAAGUACAGUGAUGGAAAGAUGAAAAGCACUUUGAGAAGAGAGUGAAACAGUACGUGAAAUUGUUGGAAGGGAAGGGCUUGCAAGCAGACACGAAGAGCCUUUUUCGGGCCAGCAUCGGGUGGAGGGGCGCCAGACCCGGCGGGAAAACGUGGCGUGCAACAUUGCGUUGCCGUGUUAUAGUUCCCGCCGCCAGCGCCACCGCCGCCCGAGGACCGCGACGCAAGUCAAGGAUGCUGGCGUAAUGGUUGCAAGCCGCCCGUCUUGAAA
Molecule: ribosomal RNA, 935 nt
Filed under: uncultured fungus
Lineage: Eukaryota; Fungi
Description: eukaryotic LSU rRNA
Rfam family: Eukaryotic large subunit ribosomal RNA (bases 338-935)
Source: RNAcentral